ACGCUGGCGGCAGGCCUAAGUCAUGCAGGUUGAACGGCUGUAGCAAUACAGCAGUAGCGGACGGGUGAGUAAUGUAUGGGAACGUAUCUUCUAGUGGGAAUAUUCUUUGGAAACGAAGAGCAAUACCGCAUGAGUCCUACGGGAGAAAGUCGCAAGACGCUAGAUGAGCGGCCCAUAUUGGAUUAGCUAGUUGGUUAGGUAAUGGCUGACCAAGGCAACGAUCCAUAGCUGGUCUAAGAGGACGAUCAGCCACAUUGGGACUGAGACACGGCCCAGACUCCUACGGGAGGCAGCAGUCAGGAAUAUUGGACAAUGGGGGCAACCCUGAUCCAGCCCAUGCCGCGUGAGUGUUAAGGUCUUCGGAUUGUAAAGCUCUUUUGUGUGGGAAAAUGAUGAUGGUACCACAAGAAUAAGCACCGGCUAACUUCGUGCCAGCAGCCGC
This 442-nucleotide ribosomal RNA is filed under the name uncultured bacterium. RNAcentral's name for it is "bacterial SSU rRNA". It matches the Rfam family "Bacterial small subunit ribosomal RNA", at positions 33 to 518 of the family's 1533-position model. The record is from RNAcentral.